GAUGAACGCUGGCGGCGUGCCUAAUACAUGCCAGUCGAGCGAACAGACGAGGAGCUUGCUCCUCUGACGUUAGCGGCGGACGGGUGAGUAACACGUGGAUAACCUACCUAUAAGACUGGGAUAACUUCGGGAAACCGGAGCUAAUACCGGAUAAUAUAUUGAACCGCAUGGUUCAAUAGUGAAAGACGGUUUUGCUGUCACUUAUAGAUGGAUCCGCGCCGCAUUAGCUAGUUGGUAAGGUAACGGCUUACCAAGGCAACGAUGCGUAGCCGACCUGAGAGGGGGAUCGGCCACACUGGAACUGAGACACGGUCCAGACUCCUACGGGAGGCAGCAGUAGGGAAUCUUCCGCAAUGGGCGAAAGCCUGACGGAGCAACGCCGCGUGAGUGAUGAAGGUCUUCGGAUCGUAAAACUCUGUUAUUAGGGAAGAACAAAUGUGUAAGUAACUAUGCACGUCUUGACGGUACCUAAUCAGAAAGCCACGGCUAACUACGUGC
RNAcentral lists this ribosomal RNA (498 nucleotides) under uncultured bacterium. RNAcentral's name for it is "partial 16S ribosomal RNA". It matches the Rfam family "Bacterial small subunit ribosomal RNA", at positions 28 to 508 of the family's 1533-position model. The record is from RNAcentral.